AUCCAGCUGACGAGUCCCGAAUAGGACAAGAUGCUCAUCGUGGAU
This 45-nucleotide non-coding RNA is filed under the name Schistosoma mansoni. Lineage: Eukaryota; Metazoa; Platyhelminthes; Trematoda; Strigeidida; Schistosomatidae. The record is from RNAcentral.